UUGAUCAGAUGUAAACUGUCAAACAUUUUUAUCAUUAUGUUUAAAGGAUAUAACGUGUAUGACACUGUGUAACUAUGGGAAAGUUGGAAGAAACAGAACCCACCGUAGAGGUGGAACACCACAAACUUGAGAUGAAACGCUCAAUAUCGUUAUUUCAUGUCAUUUCUAUAUUGUGCUCAGUUACUGGUCAUGUUUCUGUUUUCGUAGCACCUGCAGCUAUUUUAAGUUACACGGGAUCUAUAGCAUUGUCGUUGAUAUUGUGGGUUUUCGGUGGAAUUAUGAAUCUAUUUCUAGCAUUAUGCUUCACAGAAUUAGGGACUAUGUUUCCUAAAAGUGGGGGAGCAUAUGCAUACAUCCUUCAAGUAUUCGGUCCCCUGCCUGGAUUUCUUACAGCAUGGGGCUACCUAACCCUGAUCUCAGGUCCACACUGGGCUUUUUGUGCAUACAGUGCAUCUCUGUAUGCAAUGAAGCCAUUUUAUCUUGAUUGCAAGCCACCUGAUGCUGCAAUAAGACUGCUUGCGAUUUGGAUAUUGGUGACUUUUGUUGCCAUCAACUGCAGCUAUGUCAAGUUUGUGACAAAGGCCCAAAGUGUGUUGACAGUGACAAAACUCCUGGCUUUGUUGUUAAUAAUUGUGUGUGGUUUAAUCAGUUUUGUCAAAGAUGGUGCUGAGAACUUGUCAGAUCCUUGGGAAGGCACAGAAAGCAGGCCAUUUGUGAUUGCAAUGUCUUUAUUCUUUUCAGUAUUUACUUACGGAGGAUGGCAGAUUGUUACAAAUUUAAUGGAAGAAGUAAAAAAUCCAGGAAGAGACUUACCGAAGGCUGUGUAUAUAAGCAUGUUUAUCAUCACUGCUGAGUUCACCCUCACAAAUGUUGCAUACUACAUAGUAAUUGAUAAAUACGACGUCCUGCAGUCGACCACAGUUGCAAUGCUUUUCUUUGAGCGUUUUUAUCCACCCUUGAUGCCUGUUAUAUCGGCUUUAGUGGCCAUUACGGCCAUCGGAGUGUUAAACUGCUCCAUCCUUGGACAUUCCAGGGUCCUUUUUGCCGCUUCAAGAAAUGAGCAAGCUCCUGUGAUGUUUUCAAUGAUCAACACAAAGUUUCUAACACCGUGGCCAGCAAUAUUUCUUUUGACCCUAUGGUCAAUUGUGAUGCUGGUGUCCGGUGCCUUGUUUACGAUGAUGGAGUUGGUCAGUCUGUUCUCAAUCAUUCUCAGCUUUUCUGUUGUUGUUACGCAGCUUUACCUUAGAUGGAAGCAACCGCAUGCUGAAAGGCCUUACAAAACAUUUCUUUUCAUUCCAAUUUCCCAAUUCGCAUUGAUCAUCGUCGUGUUUUUCUUGUGUAUCUACCAAGAACCUUUAAAACUUGGCCGUGGCCUGGCCAUCUUAGCGGCUGGUCUUCCUGCAUAUUGGUUUGGUGUUUUAUGGAGGAAAAAGCCAAAAGUUUAUCACAGAUUCAUGAGAUGGGUCCGGAUGAUCACUGCUUCAAGGCUUGGUCAGGAUUGUCACUGUUUCUAGGCUUGGUCUGGAUGAUCACUGCUUCUACGCUGGGUCAGGAUGAUUACUGUUUCUAGCCUGGGUCCGGAUGAUCACUGCUUCUAAGCUGGGUCUAGAGUAUAUUACUGUAGGAUUACAAAAGCUGCUUUCUGUUGGAAAGGCGGCAUGAUGUAUCUCCAGUUCCAACAUCAACAUAUAUGGUUGUAGUUCCGACCCUAUGAAAUGAAGUCCGUUAUGCUGAACUGUUCACAGUGUGUUUAUUGUAUAAUAUCUGAAUGUAUGACCAUUCUUGGAAAUCAUUCUUAUUUUUAAGAUAGUUUUAGAACAGUAAGCGUAUUUAUUUUUCUAUCUAUUUUGCUUUUUAAUAUCCUACACUGUUAUAUGUAUUUUACAACUGAUGCUGAAUGUGUUUUUCUAGCGGCUUCAUGUUGAUUUUGUAUCUGGUGUAAUUUACUUCCUAAGUAUUACAUGUGACCCUUAUACAUUUUGUAUCUGAUUUUGUAUCUGACGUGUUGUUUGCCGUUUUUUUUAUAUCUUAAACGCGCACGUGCUAAUUUAAGUCAUUCAACAUUCUAUUGCAAAUGCAUAACAAUUAUAUGAAGGUAUACGAUGUAUAAAUGAGCUUUUUAUUUUUAUGGUAAUAAGGUUACAUUUUUAUGCCUGAUGUCCUCAUAUAUUGAUACAUUUGUUUUUAAUUUUGCUUUUGACUUCAACUAAAAUAACCCAUUUUCAAUCUUUCCAGGUCAAAAAAGCAUAUUAUUUCUCUACUCAUUUUAUCUUUAAAGUGAAAUCAAAAUAAUAAGCUAAACGACUAUCACAUUGUAUACCCAUUUUUUGAAAAUUGUCUAUGACGCAUAUAUAUAUAUGCGAUGUAUUUAUAUAGUGUAGGACUUGUUUUCAAAAUCACAUAAAUUUUAUCGAUCAAUUAUUGGUAUGUAUUUUGAUAUUGUUAUGUAUUAAAUGAGUGCUUGUUGAAUACCAUGACAAUGCCUGGUAUCGCUCUUUCUAUUUUUAUUUUAACCACCCAUUUUCAGUUAAAUAUAAAUCGAUACAUUCACAUCUAUAUUAAAUACACCUUAAUUUUGAGUGAUAAACCUUUAACUAUUUACAAAAUAAUGCAUUUAUGGAAAAUUUUAAAUUCUGAAAACAAGAUUGUUACCGUGUAACUAAUAGCUGAAAACGCAAAAAUAUUAACUGAUUGGUGAAUGCUAAAAUAUAUACAGUGAUCAACUAUUGUCUCAUAAGGUAGAUAUACCAUGUUUUCUGCACCUUUCUUUCAAAUUGAACUCAGUAUCCCUCAUAAGAACCAUUGUUUUCGACAUUUAUUUAUCCUUUUUGGUAUAUUUAAACAAUUGUAUUAAUUGUGGUUAAUCUUAUUUGGGAGGAAUAGUGCAUCCUUAAGGCUAACCAUAGGUGUUUGCGUCUAUCGUUUGCGAGUUGGUUCCCUGCUUGCUGUGUAUGCGUUAAGAUGCAACAAGGAUACACUAUAACACAGUAGUGUCGGCGCCUAUUCUGUAGGUAGGGUCGGGUAACCCAUAGCAAAUGUAUUUUUAUAGGCCUUAAAAUUGGAAAAAGGGCUUAUAAUUUAAUUGAGCUGAGAACUUAUGCACCGGUCAAUUGUAACCACGGGGAUUUUACCUUUUCUUUUUUCUUUCCAGACAAGUGUUCACCGAAACUCGAGUGUACCAUUAUAUUCUACAUAUAAAUAGUGUUCAAAUGCCGUUGUUAUAUUAACUUGAUCAACAAAAGUCAAAUAAAUGGUAACCUUAUAGCGUCCACUGGGCGCCGCCAUUAUUGGCCUUUGCCUGACGUACUGUAUGAAAUAUCAGUAAGCAAGGAACCAGACUAAAACGCAUCCUGCACUAAAGAAUUCGCGGGGGAGCACGCGUAUGUGUUUCAUUUCUGUACUUUCAACUCUAGCAUUGACUGUGUUAAUGAGUGCACGGUACAAGAAGUGUAUUACUAAUAUAAUAUAUGUAUUAGGUUUAUCAGUGAAAGCAUGUGAUCUGCGUGUUUAUUUUCCUUUUGCUUUGUUUUGUAGUGUUAUUGAGCUUUAACGUUUAUCAUGCGACGAGACCGAUAACUAGUAAGCUCGCUUUUUAAAAUAGUCACUGCUUAGUAAUGGCCCUUGAAUUGGCAAACUAUCUCGCUUAAAUACAUUUAGUUCCUAUUAGUUAAACUUAGUGAUUAAAGAAUGGGUUUACUUUCACGGAUGAGUUGAUUUACCAGCCUCUGACUCGUGAAAUUCAUUAAAUUGAUUUAUUUCAUCAAAGUUCAAUAUUAGUUCAUUGACCGUACCUUGAAACGCAUUACUCGCAUUUGUCAGCUAUUUGGCAAAAAUGAAUACAAUUUCAUGGUUAUGUCAAUGUUAUGUUAGUAAUACUAGUAGUACUCCACUGAGUUUUUUACUCUAGUUUCAAUAUAUAAGUCUGACGUAGAAUUAUUGUUUUAUGUUACAGGGACAUUUAACCGAUGUGUUAAUUUCGUUUUUUGUUGUUGUUUUUUGUUUUUGUUUUUGUUUUAAACUAAAACCAUGGUUUAAUAUAUAUAAAACAUGAUAUCAGUCAGAACAAAUAAACGCA
RNA transcript from Mya arenaria, 4075 nucleotides. It is a transcript of the gene named Y+L amino acid transporter 2-like, with no coding region annotated. NCBI's taxonomy places the organism in Eukaryota, Metazoa, Mollusca, Bivalvia, Myida, Myidae. The transcript is spliced from 11 exons. The record is from RefSeq and is a predicted model, not a curated record.